GGAUCACAAGAAAUGUCAUUAACCACUUAGGAUGUUUUGACAUCUUGCUGAAGAUUGCUUCAUUAUCAGUGGAAUGAAAUUCCUUCUCUGCUUGUCUAGCAACUUAGAUUAUUUAGAGAAAGCUACUACUAUGACAAAGCAAACAUCGAAAUUAUAUUGUUGAAGAAAGGUAUUGAACAACUUUACUGUUAUAAAGAUAGAACAGCAAUGUAAUGAAAAUGAAGCGGUGGUGUUGCAGAUUGUAAUCCUUCUGAAGAAUGAAAAAACCAGAGUUGAAAGUGAAAUGCUGGCGCAUGCUGCCCGAGAUGAAAGUUACU
Molecule: long non-coding RNA, 317 nt
Filed under: Cyanistes caeruleus (blue tit)
Lineage: Eukaryota; Metazoa; Chordata; Aves; Passeriformes; Paridae
Description: lncRNA (ENSCCEG00000011702.1)
Source: RNAcentral